GACGUGAUCUGCAGACUCAGUACUCGGUGUAGAGUCUGUGUGAUUCAGAAGAGCAGCUACAUCUGAAUACUGGGUCAGUGGAGACGUCACACGCUAC
Molecule: non-coding RNA, 97 nt
Organism: Danio rerio (zebrafish)
Lineage: Eukaryota; Metazoa; Chordata; Actinopteri; Cypriniformes; Danionidae
Gene: mir222b
Product: microRNA 222b
Source: RefSeq, marked provisional